This is a long non-coding RNA of Cottoperca gobio, 719 nucleotides long. RefSeq lists it as uncharacterized. The record is from RefSeq and is a predicted model, not a curated record. NCBI's taxonomy places the organism in Eukaryota, Metazoa, Chordata, Actinopteri, Perciformes, Bovichtidae. The transcript has 3 exons.
GCAGCAUUUCUCCUCAUGUCUCUGCUUCAAGUAAAACCCAGGAGCAAUAAAGGUUUCUAAGGGGACUACUAUUUGCUUCCUCAUUAAAGGCUUGGUUUGAGGGAAGAUAACGUCCAGAAACAAAGGGGGAUCCCAAAAUGCUUGGAUGAAAGAUGGCUGUGGACCUGCUCUGCUGCUUUGACGUAUCUGAGAAUCUUCGAACCCUGCAUCUUAAACAGUGAAAAAUUUAGCCCGGCCGUGUUGUUGCUCGCUCCAUCACUGCUCGGCCUCCACAGUCACCGCCCACGCCUCAGCGGCAGCUGUCACCGUGACGCCCCGCGGGGGAACGCUGCUCAGCAGGCGGGGAGCUGGGAGCUGGAAGCUGGGAAGCGAAGUGUCUAAAAAAUAUCUGACACAUAAUGAAAUCCUCCUCCUGUCCUCUGCUUCUCUGUCCUCAUCCUAGUUGCUCAUAUGGAUGUUGUGAAUGUAUUCAUUAUUUCUCAAAUGUCUUUGUUGUAUUUGUUUGUACGAGUGUUAUGAAUGAAAUAUGCAUUUGGUCUGUAAAUAAAGAGCAAAUAAGAUGUGACAGGUUUGAUAUUUGUCAGUAAUUUUACACUCAGCAGAAAUUAAUUUCCUGCUCGAGAUGCGGUCGGCAGUGAGUUUAGCGUUGUGACUAAUGGAUGCAGCAGUUUAUAUUUUGACAGCUAAGUACAGCUCCAGAGAGAGGAGGAAAGAAAAAC